CCUACGGGUGGCAGCAGUGAGGAAUAUUGGUCAAUGGCCGGGAGACUGAACCAGCCAAGCCGCGUGAGGGAGGAAGGUACAGAGUAUUGUAAACCUCUUUUGUCAGGUAACAAAGGCGGGGACGUGUCCCUCGAUGAGCGUACCCGAAGAAAAAGCAUCGGCUAACUCCGUGCCAGCCGCCGCAGUAAUACGGAGGAUGCGAUCGUUAUCCGGAUUUAUUGGGUUUAAAGGGUGCGGAGGCGGUCUGGUCAGGCAGCGGUCAAAGCCCGGGGCUCAACCCCGGCCCGCCGUUGAAACUGGCAGUCUGGAGUUGGAGAGAAGUAUGCGGAAUGCGCGGUGUAGCGGUGAAAUGCAUAGAUAUCGCGCAGAACUCCGAUUGCGAAGGCAGCAUGCCGGCGCCACACUGACGCUGAGGCACGAAAGCGUGGGUAUCGAACAGGAUUAGAUACCCUUGUAGUC
Molecule: ribosomal RNA, 459 nt
Filed under: uncultured bacterium
Lineage: Bacteria
Description: partial 16S ribosomal RNA
Rfam family: Bacterial small subunit ribosomal RNA
Source: RNAcentral